This 107-nucleotide small RNA is filed under the name Marmota monax (woodchuck). The record is from RNAcentral. Lineage: Eukaryota; Metazoa; Chordata; Mammalia; Rodentia; Sciuridae.
GCUGGGUAUGGAAGUGUAUACCUAUAAUCCCAGCUACAUGGGAGGCUGAGGCAAGAGGAUCCCAAGUUUGGAACCAGCCUGGGCAACUUUGCAAGUCUUUGUCUCAA